This 603-nucleotide ribosomal RNA is filed under the name Triticum aestivum (bread wheat). RNAcentral's name for it is "partial small subunit ribosomal RNA". Lineage: Eukaryota; Viridiplantae; Streptophyta; Magnoliopsida; Poales; Poaceae. The record is from RNAcentral.
AUGGCCUACUUCGAUGAGAAAGAGAAGGAAGAUCCAGAUUUCUUCUACAGGAUAAGAUUGGAUGAUGAGGACCGUGUCAGGAACAUGUAAUGGGUGGAUGGUGCUACAAGGAGAGCCUACAAACAUUUCCGAGAUUGCAUUUCAUUCGACGCGACGUAUCUGACUAAUAUGUACAAGAUGCCAUGCGCUCCGUUCAUAGGAAUAAAUAACCACAAUCAGUCGUUGCAGUUUGGCUGCGGGCUCGUUCGGAACAAAGACAUGGAUGGGUACGUUUGGAUGUUCAAAACCUUCUUGGAGUGCAUGGAUGGACUUGCUCCGAUGAACAUAAUAACAGACCAGGAUUUCAGCAUGCGUGCAGGCAUAGAGGAGGUAUUUCCGUUGGCAGUGCACAGGCAAUGCAGGUGGCACAUUAUAAAGAAGGCUGAAAAUACGCUAGGACCGUUCUUUGCUGACCGUCCAGAGCUCCACAAGGCGUUCGAGCUGUGCGUGGACCAUAGCUUGACGGUGGAGGAGUUUGAAAGGAGCUGGAUGGCCAUGACUGAAACAUAUCAAGUCCAAGACAACGAGACGCUUGCUAACCUCACUAGUAGAAAAAGGACCUAA